UACGUAGGUGGCAAGCGUUAUCCGGAAUUACUGGGCGUAAAGCGCACGCAGGCGGUCUUUUAAGUCUGAUGUGAAAGCCCACGGCUCAACCGUGGAGGGUCAUUGGAAACUGGGGGACUUGAGUACAGAAGAGAAGAGUGGAAUUCCACGUGUAGCGGUGAAAUGCGUAGAGAUGUGGAGGAACACCAGUGGCGAAGGCGACUCUUUGGUCUGUAACUGACGCUGAGGCGCGAAAGCGUGGGGAGCAAACAGG
This 253-nucleotide ribosomal RNA is filed under the name uncultured bacterium. Its description in RNAcentral is "partial 16S ribosomal RNA". It matches the Rfam family "Bacterial small subunit ribosomal RNA", at positions 524 to 776 of the family's 1533-position model. The record is from RNAcentral.